Molecule: ribosomal RNA, 253 nt
Filed under: uncultured bacterium
Lineage: Bacteria
Description: partial 16S ribosomal RNA
Rfam family: Bacterial small subunit ribosomal RNA
Source: RNAcentral
UACGUGGGGGGCAAGCGUUGUUCGGAAUUACUGGGCGUAAAGGGCUCGUAGGUGGCUAACUAAGUCAGACGUGAAAUCCCUCAGCUUAACUGGGGAACUGCGUCUGAUACUGGAUGGCUUGAGUUUGGGAGAGGGAUGCGGAAUUCCAGGUGUAGCGGUGAAAUGCGUAGAUAUCUGGAGGAACACCGGUGGCGAAGGCAGCAUCCUGGGCCAAUACUGACACUGAACAGCGAAAGCCAGGGGAGCAAACAGG